GUGAAUCAUCGAAUUUUUGAACGCAAAUUGCGCUUCCUGGCAUCCCGGGGAGUAUGCCUGUUUGAGGGUCAGUAUUAAUAAAAAAGCUGUUUAUUUACAAAUUGUGACGUUUCCGGAGUUUGGUCGAUCUUAACAUUUUUGGUUGAGAAUCUUUGAAUUGACCUUUUUUACGCUUGUGUGAACGUACAUGAAUUUUUUUUAUUCGUCUAUUCUUAAUGCCGAAGUCUUAUUAUUUGCGAUCACAGCGUGUGGCUUCAUGUCCAU
RNAcentral lists this unclassified non-coding RNA (264 nucleotides) under Glomeraceae sp. RNAcentral describes it as "partial contains 5.8S ribosomal RNA and internal transcribed spacer 2". The stretch from base 1 to 71 matches the Rfam family "5.8S ribosomal RNA", at positions 84 to 154 of the family's 154-position model. The record is from RNAcentral. Lineage: Eukaryota; Fungi; Glomeromycota; Glomeromycetes; Glomerales; Glomeraceae.